GACGAACGCUGGCGGCGUGCCUAAUACAUGCAAGUCGAACGCUUCUUUCCUCCCGAGUGCUUGCACUCCAUUGGAAAGAGGAGUGGCGGACGGGUGAGUAACACGUGGGUAACCUACCCAUCAGAGGGGGAUAACACUUGGAAACAGGUGCUAAUACCGCAUAACAGUUUAUGCCGCAUGGCAUAAGAGUGAAAGGCGCUUUCGGGUGUCGUUGAUGGAUGGACCCGCGGUGCAUUAGCUAGUUGGUGAGGUAACGGCUCACCAAGGCCACGAUGCAUAGCCGACCUGAGAGGGUGAUCGGCCACACUGGGACUGAGACACGGCCCAGACUCCUACGGGAGGCAGCAGUAGGGAAUCUUCGGCAAUGGACGAAAGUCUGACCGAGCAACGCCGCGUGAGUGAAGAAGGUUCUCGGAUCGUAAAACUCUGUUGUUAGAGAAGAACAAGGACGUUAGUAACUGAACGUCCCCUGACGGUAUCUAACCAGAAAGCCACGGCUAACUACGUG
This 508-nucleotide ribosomal RNA is filed under the name uncultured bacterium. Its description in RNAcentral is "partial 16S ribosomal RNA". It matches the Rfam family "Bacterial small subunit ribosomal RNA", at positions 28 to 507 of the family's 1533-position model. The record is from RNAcentral.